AGUGAACGCUGGCGGUAGGCCUAACACAUGCAAGUCGAACGGCAGCACAGUAAGAGCUUGCUCUUACGGGUGGCGAGUGGCGGACGGGUGAGGAAUACAUCGGAAUCUACUUUUUCGUGGGGGAUAACGUAGGGAAACUUACGCUAAUACCGCAUACGACCUACGGGUGAAAGCAGGGGAUCUUCGGACCUUGCGCGUUUGAAUGAGCCGAUGUCGGAUUAGCUAGUUGGCGGGGUAAAGGCCCACCAAGGCGACGAUCCGUAGCUGGUCUGAGAGGAUGAUCAGCCACACUGGAACUGAGACACGGUCCAGACUCCUACGGGAGGCAGCAGUGGGGAAUAUUGGACAAUGGGCGCAAGCCUGAUCCAGCAAUACCGCGUGGGUGAAGAAGGCCUUCGGGUUGUAAAGCCCUUUUGUUGGGAAAGAAAAGCAGCAGGUUAAUACCCCGCUGUUCUGACGGUACCCAAAGAAUAAGCACCGGCUAACUUCGUG
Molecule: ribosomal RNA, 492 nt
Filed under: uncultured bacterium
Lineage: Bacteria
Description: partial 16S ribosomal RNA
Rfam family: Bacterial small subunit ribosomal RNA
Source: RNAcentral